RNAcentral lists this ribosomal RNA (253 nucleotides) under uncultured bacterium. Its description in RNAcentral is "partial 16S ribosomal RNA". It matches the Rfam family "Bacterial small subunit ribosomal RNA", at positions 524 to 776 of the family's 1533-position model. The record is from RNAcentral.
UGCGUAGGGGGCUAGCGUUGUCCGGAAUCAUUGGGCGUAAAGCGCGUGUAGGCGGUCCGGUAAGUCCGCUGUGAAAGUCGGGGGCUCAACCCUCGGAUGCCGGUGGAUACUGUCGGGCUUGAGUACGGAAGAGGCGAGUGGAAUUCCUGGUGUAGCGGUGAAAUGCGCAGAUAUCAGGAGGAACACCAAUUGCGAAGGCAGCUCGCUGGGACGUUACUGACGCUGAGACGCGAAAGCGUGGGGAGCAAACAGG